RNAcentral lists this long non-coding RNA (1073 nucleotides) under Homo sapiens (human). Its description in RNAcentral is "non-protein coding TRAF3IP2-AS1:24". Lineage: Eukaryota; Metazoa; Chordata; Mammalia; Primates; Hominidae. The record is from RNAcentral.
GGAAGCACAUAUAAAACUGUGAUAGUGAAAUUGCCUUCUGGGAGAUUGCACCAAUUUACACUCCUAUCAAGAGUGAUUGGGAAUAUUCAUUUCUCUCUAACUCCACUAACACUGGAUGUUGUCCAAAGUUUUUAUUUUUGCACAACUAAUCAAGGAAAAGGCUUUCUCCAUAUUUACGUGCUUGUAACUCUGGCAUGACCUUUGCUCCAGUCUCUACCAGAGGGCGGUGCCUGGAUUGAAGUGGAAAAGCCCUGUUUUCCAGCCAUGACCCAGGGAGCAAGCACUGACUCCUCAGGGGAACAGGAGACCUGCCAACUAGGACCCUGGGAGCCCCCAUGCUGGCAGUGCCCUGGGUCAUCUCAGGCUCAUCAGCAAAUCCUGGGGGGAGAGCGGGGCUGGAGGGCGAAGAAGCCCAGGAGAGUUCCUGGCUCAGAACCCCUCUCUGAGGCUCCCAAUACAGAGCCCAGGCCCCACACCCAGGGCCUCUGAGUAUUUUUGUUUAUUGUAUGUAAAAUACUAGUGUAUUUUUGUUUAAGUCUCACAGGUAAACAGGUUCUCUCAUACUUUGCCAAGGGAAAUGUGAUCUGUGCAAUUUGGCAAUAACUAUCAGAAUUUUAAAAGCUUAUGCCCUUUGACCUAGUAAUUUCACUUCUAAGAAUUUCCCCUGCAGAGAUAUGUAUAUCUUGUAUGAAAUGAAGAGGCUACGAAGACAGGCAACGCCGCAGUGUUUAUAAUAGCGAAGACCAGACACAACCCACAUGUCUAAAGGUUCUGAUUUUUAAAACUGUAGUAUAUCUGUACAAUGAGCACUCCACAUCCUUUAAGAAUGAGGAAGGGCUGUGUGAACUGAAAUGGAACUAUCUCUAAGAUUUAUUAAGUUAAAAAAAUUCAAGAGUAGCACAGUGUGUAGGGUAUGCCAUCAUUUGUAUGAUAUAAGGUCGUAUAUCUGCCAUCUCAAAUGAGGAACAGUGGUUGCCUCUGGGAAGGGAAUUGGAUGGCUAGGAAUGGGGUAGGAAAGAGGUUUGCUUUUCAGAACAUUUUAUACUAUUUAAGUUUUGUAACAAGUGCAUCUA